RNAcentral lists this ribosomal RNA (426 nucleotides) under Triticum aestivum (bread wheat). RNAcentral's name for it is "partial small subunit ribosomal RNA". Lineage: Eukaryota; Viridiplantae; Streptophyta; Magnoliopsida; Poales; Poaceae. The record is from RNAcentral.
AUGCCUGUUUGGGUUGUCAUCUCAACAAUCCUUCCAACAGUAUUUGGAUAUGCUCUCCUUAAAUUCCAAUAUGUGGUUUCUAUAAUUGACAUGUAUGCCUGUUUGGAUCAUCUCAACAAUCCUUGCAGCAGUAAUGAGUUUUUUCUUGGUGUGUCUGUUUUUCGCUGGCCGAGUGAGCAUGCGUGUGUGUUGUGUGCUGUCCGGGUGUGCGUGCAUGCACCGGCCGGUUGUGCUGGUGCUAAUCCUCUCUCCAAGUUGAUUCCAAGGGCACUGUACUAUUCCUUCUCCUUUGAUUGCAGGUGCACAAAACAUCGGCCACCACCAGGAGCUAGGCGGCAGUGGACUGGAGAAUUUUUCUCUGUUAAUUCCAUCUCUCUCUCUCAAUAUGUUUCUCUCUCUACUCUCUGUGUUAACUCUCUUUGCUAA